This 1247-nucleotide ribosomal RNA is filed under the name Vairimorpha bombi. RNAcentral describes it as "Nosema bombi 16S ribosomal RNA". It matches the Rfam family "Microsporidia small subunit ribosomal RNA". Lineage: Eukaryota; Fungi; Microsporidia; Nosematidae. The record is from RNAcentral.
CACCAGGUUGAUUCUGCCUGACGUAGACGCUAUUCCCUAAGAUUAACCCAUGCAUGUUUUUGAAGAUUAUUAUCUGAAAAAUGGACUGCUCAGUAAUACUCACUUUAUUUUAUGUGCACCGCAGAUAACUACGUUAAAGUGUAGAUAACAUGUGUACAGUAAGAGUGAGACCUAUCAGCUAGUUGUUAGGGUAAUGGCUUAACAAGGCAGUGACGGGUAACGGUAUUACUUUGUAAUAUUCCGGAGAAGGAGCCUGAGAGACGGCUACUAAGUCUAAGGAUUGCAGCAGGGGCGAAACUUGACCUAUGGAUUUUAUCUGAGGCAGUUAUGGGAAGUAAUAUAUUAUUGUUUCAUAUUUUAAAAAUAUAUGAGGUGAUUAAUUGGAGGGCAAAUCAAGUGCCAGCAGCCGCGGUAAUACUUGUUCCAAGAGUGUGUAUGAUGAUUGAUGCAGUUAAAAAGUCCGUAGUUUAUUUUUAAGAAGCAAUAUGAGGUGUACUGUAUAGUUGGGAGAGAGAUGAAAUGUGACGACCCUGACUGGACGAACAGAAGCGAAAGCUGUACACUUGUAUGUAUUUUUUGAACAAGGACGUAAGCUGGAGGAUCGAAGAUGAUUAGAUACCAUUGUAGUUCCAGCAGUAAACUAUGCCGACGAUGUGAUAUGAGUAUUUGUAUUACAUAGUAGAAAUUAGAGUUUUUUGGCUCUGGGGAUAGUAUGAUCGCAAGAUUGAAAAUUAAAGAAAUUGACGGAAGAAUACCACAAGGAGUGGAUUGUGCGGCUUAAUUUGACUCAACGCGAGGUAACUUACCAAUAUUUUAUUAUUCUGAGAGAAUCCUGAUUCGAGAAUGAUAAUAGUGGUGCAUGGCCGUUUUCAAUGGAUGCUGUGAAGUUUUGAUUAAUUUCAACAAGACGUGAGACCCUUUUAUAUAGACAGACACAAUCAGUGUAGGAAGGAAAGGAUUAAAACAGGUCCGUUAUGCCCUCAGACAUUUUGGGCUGCACGCGCAAUACAAUAGAUAUACAGUCUUUAUGGGAUAAUAUUUUGUAAGAGAUAUUUGAACUCGGAAUUGCUAGUAAAUUUUAUUGAAUAAGUAGAAUUGAAUGUGUCCCUGUUCUUUGUACACACCGCCCGUCGCUAUCUAAGAUGAUAUAUGCUGUGAAAUUAGUGCAAACUACUUGAACAAUAUGUAUUAGAUCUGAUAUAAGUCGUAACAUGGUUGCUGUUGGAGAACCAUUAGCAGGAUCAUAA